UCAGAAUAUAUCAUACUGUUACAGAACUACCAGAUGAAGUGAUGAGGAUAUUUAAAUGGCUACUUUAACAUCCAAGAUAUAAACGGAAGUCUACUAUCUUACCACUGUAAAUUGAACAGGCAGGAAAACAUCAAUAGAAACUGCUCUAGAACCAGACUGGAGAACUUCCAGGACCACAUAAUGAUUAACUCAAAUAGAAAUGGACACAAAAAGAUCCUGGGAAAUAGCGAACGCAGCAGAAGCAGACAAGAGUGAAAGUCUAUGACAUUUUCCACAUGCUUACACAGUUGCAAAGUUCAGCUUACUGGAAAAGACUCACUUGUAGGAGAAACACUUGUUAACUUCAGCUGUCAAAUUGAGGUAAAAAACAAUUACAUUUCUGCUUUCCUCUCAGAAGGUACAGCUCACUACCAAGAGCAAAGAACUGUCAUCUAAAUUAAAUUUGGAUUUCCUAAUCUAUAGAAUUCUACCAUGGCUCAUUUCAGAAAAGUAAAAAACUUUGCCACUUCUCUGCGAUAAAAGCGAAGUGCAAAUAAAGGAUUUGGAGUUACUGAUAUUCUGAUGCAUUAGUGACUUGAGUAAGGCAAAGAGUAGCAUCAAGAGCAUCAAGCACCCAACAGCUCAUUUCAUUAAGCAAUAUGUUUAUACAGAAAGCUCAUGCACACACUUACCUGACGGAUUGAAAUCUUGGAAGUAGUCAGGACAAUGCUGUACUGAUACAGUUCCUGCAGCAACAUCACUCCAGCACAACCAGCCAUCCCAUGUCCUGUUACAGUAAGGACCUAGAAACAAGUGGACAACUGGUAAUAAAAUAACAACUCUUCUUUCACAGUAGUCUUUCAAAACGGAGUUAUAACACUGGACAAGUAGAACAAAUCCGUGGAGGUCCACCCAAUCUGUAUUCUGCCUAGUGUCCUUUGACCUACAUGGAGAUGCACAAUAUGAUGUGAAGAAAAUGCAUUCAGUCCACCAGUAGCAUAUUCCAGCAGCCAGAUCUUGCCUGCUACAGCACAUCCAUCUCUCACAGUUCAGGCAGGAAGGGCCACCCACUGCCUCAACUAACACCACUUUUUCAGAGGGCUUAUCUCAAUUUGGUAGCUGGUAUCAACUCUAUCAGAUACACAGCAAUUAACAGGUUCCGAAGGCCAAGAUCUGAGUUGCCUACUUAAUUCAAAGACUGAACUGCUACUGAAGCAAGAGGGCUGCUGUUGUCUGAGUAUCUUCAGGCAAACCCUCCUCCUGACUCAAGGCACAUUUGUCCUUCGAUCAUACUUGUGCUUGUUUUUGGAUGUUUUUUUUUCUUCUCCAGCAUUACAACCUACAAACAAUUGGUGCAUGAGAAACAAGUGAUAGUACAUGGCCCAGCUCAGAGAAUUUUACACAGAGAUGAUAAUUCUAAAAUACCUCAUUCACAAA
Molecule: long non-coding RNA, 1416 nt
Filed under: Gallus gallus (chicken)
Lineage: Eukaryota; Metazoa; Chordata; Aves; Galliformes; Phasianidae
Description: long non-coding RNA NONGGAT008319
Source: RNAcentral